UACGGAGGGUGCGAGCGUUGUCCGGAAUCACUGGGCGUAAAGGGCGCGUAGGCGGCAUGCCAAGCGUGUGGUGAAAGCCCGGGGCUCAACCCCGGGUUGGCCGUGCGGACUGGCGUGCUCGAGCACUGUAGGGGCGGGUGGAAUUCCGGGUGUAGCGGUGGAAUGCGCAGAUAUCAGGAGGAACACCAGUGGCGAAGGCGGUGCUCUGGGCCGGAACUGACGCUGAGGAGCGAAAGCGUGGGGAGCAAACAGG
This 253-nucleotide ribosomal RNA is filed under the name uncultured bacterium. Its description in RNAcentral is "partial 16S ribosomal RNA". It matches the Rfam family "Bacterial small subunit ribosomal RNA", at positions 524 to 776 of the family's 1533-position model. The record is from RNAcentral.